RNAcentral lists this long non-coding RNA (1320 nucleotides) under Monodelphis domestica (gray short-tailed opossum). Its description in RNAcentral is "lncRNA (ENSMODG00000047153.1)". Lineage: Eukaryota; Metazoa; Chordata; Mammalia; Didelphimorphia; Didelphidae. The record is from RNAcentral.
UUUUAUUGUAUACAUUUUAAAAAAUAGUAUUGAGUGGAAGUCUAUGGACUUUAAGAAUCCCUCCUCUGGGCACUGUGCUAAAAGUGCUGUGGUCGGGGGCAGCUGGGUAGCUCAGUGAAUUGAGAGCUAGCCCUAGAGACGGGAGGUCCUAGGUUCAAAUCUGGCCUCAGACACUUCCCAGCUGUGUGACCCUGGGCAAGUCACUUGACCCCCAUUGCCUACCCUUACCACUCUUCUGCCUUGGAGCCAAUACACAGUAUUGACUCCAAGAUGGAAGGUAAGGGUUUUAAAAAAAAUAAAAAAAAAAUAAAAGUGCUGUGGUCUAAGACUUCACUUUUCAUCAAUUUGAGAAAGAUGGUAGCACCUCAGCUGAGGACUCCAGAGCUUAGAAUAGUAGAGAAACAAUUCAAAAAACCUUAUAGCCAGUAGAGUCACAAUAGGUAGCAACCAAUAGCAAUCACAGGCCAAGCUGGGCAACAUUCCAUAGAAACAGCAUCCCACAAGAGAGCAGCAUUAGGAUCCAAGUCUAGGGGGAACGAUGCAAUGACUUCACCAGAACAAAACAUUUGUGACUGGCUCAGCAACACUGGAAAUGGAUUUCCUUUCUGCAUGUGCAGUCCAGUCAUAUGUUUCAUGCUUAUCUUUUCAUAUACACCAUGUAUGAAGUAUGGGCAAGGGCAUGAGGUUCCUGUUCUCUCUGCUAAACAUUUAGACCUGAAUUGCUUUAUUCAUUGGCUUCUCUAUCAAUCUUUCAGAUGUCUGCUGUUGUUGGACAGUUGUCUCAGUCAUGUCUGACUCUUGGUGAUCCAGUUUUUUUCUUGGGGUUUUCUUGGCAAAGAUACUGGAAUGAUUUGGUAUUUCCUUCUCCAGAUCACUUUACAGAUUAGGAAACUGAGGCAAACAAAGUGAAGUGACCUGCCCAGGGUCAUACAACCAGUAAGUGUCUAAGGCCAGAUUUGAACUCAGGAAGAUGUCUUCCUGCUCUAUACACAGCACCACCUAGUUGGCAACCUACCUCACUUUACUUAAAGACAACUAUGUGACUUCAGUACCCACUACCCCUAGGUCCCUUUCCUUCCUUCCUUCCUUCCUUCCUUCCUUCCUUCCUUCCAAUUUUCCUUUUUCCUUCCUUCCCUCCCUUUUUCCUUUUUCCUUUUUUCCUUCCUUCCCUCUCUUCCUUUCUCCUGACAUUUUAAGGUUACCUUUUAUAAUAAGACAGCUCACCUCCCUUGCCCUUGACACACAACUGGCCAACUUUCUUUUUCUGCCAUACAUGUUUUUAAGAGCAUAGUUGCUAAAUAAAUGAAUGGUUGAAUGCCA